Molecule: ribosomal RNA, 484 nt
Filed under: uncultured Pacispora
Lineage: Eukaryota; Fungi; Glomeromycota; Glomeromycetes; Diversisporales; Pacisporaceae
Description: SSU rRNA
Rfam family: Eukaryotic small subunit ribosomal RNA
Source: RNAcentral
UGGAGGGCAAGUCUGGUGCCAGCAGCCGCGGUAAUUCCAGCUCCAAUAGCGUAUAUUAAAGUUGUUGCAGUUAAAAAGCUCGUAGUUGAAUUUCGGAAUUUUUUUAUCGGUUGAAUCAACAGGUUUAUACUGAUUUUAAGAAUUUCUACCUUCUGGAGAACCUUAAUGUCAUUAAUUUGGUGUUUUGGGGAACCAGAACUGUUACCUUGAAAAAAUUAGAGUGUUUAAAGCAGGCUUAUGUCUGAAUAUAUUAGCAUGGAAUAAUGAAAUAGGACGGCAUGGUUCUAUUUUGUUGGUUUCUAGGAUCACCGUAAUGAUUAAUAGGGAUAGUUGGGGGCAUUAGUAUUCAAUUGUCAGAGGUGAAAUUCUUGGAUUUAUUGAAGACUAACUUCUGCGAAAGCAUUUGCCAAGGAUGUUUUCAUUAAUCAAGAACGAAAGUUAGGGGAUCGAAGACGAUCAGAUACCGUCGUAGUCUUAACCAUAA